Molecule: ribosomal RNA, 442 nt
Filed under: uncultured bacterium
Lineage: Bacteria
Description: bacterial SSU rRNA
Rfam family: Bacterial small subunit ribosomal RNA
Source: RNAcentral
GAUGAACGCUGGCGGUAUGCCUAACACAUGCAAGUCGUACGAGAGUUUUUAACUCUAGUGGCGGACGGGUGAGUAACACGUGAGAAUUUGCCUUUAGGAGGGGGACAACAAUUGGAAACGAAUGCUAAUACCCCAUAUGCUUUCGAGUGAAAUGGAUUUUAUCCGCCUAGAGAGAAGCUCGCGGCUGAUUAGCUUGUUGGUAAGGUAAGAGCUUACCAAGGCGACGAUCAGUAUCUGGUUUGAGAGGACGAUCAGACACACUGGAACUGAGACACGGUCCAGACUCCUACGGGAGGCAGCAGUGGGGAAUUUUCCGCAAUGGGCGAAAGCCUGACGGAGCAAUACCGCGUGAGGAAGAAUGCCUAUGGGUUGUAAACCUCUUUUUUCAGGGGUAGGAAUAAAAUGACGUGUACCUGAAGAAUAAGCAUCGGCUAACUCCGUG